AACCAUCAGAUAGCACUGGGUCUGUGCUGUGGUCCCACGUUUCUGUGGCAACCGUGCUGUCGUUAUGGGAUGGCAAAAGCUACAUGAAAGGGAGACUCUGAUUUUCAUGCCUCAUGCAUUCUUCUUUUUCCUUUUCUGGAAUAUAUAUAUAUAUCACAAAUACUCUCUGAACAUAGAGCAGUGGAGGGGAAAGUACUGAAGUCAAGAAAAGGUAAAUGAAAAGGAAUGAAGAGCACGGGAGGAACGGCAGAUUGAAAGAAAGGAGAUAUGUAGAAACAAGGAUGUAAGGAAAGAAGUAAAACAAGAGAAGGAAAAUAAAUUUGGGGAAAAUGACAAAAUUGAGGAACACAAAAUUGUGUUCAACUACGUCACUUUAGCAAAAUGUACUUUCCUACAUUCCACGUUUGCAUAUACGUAUAGAGGUGUAUAUGUGUUUAUAUAUAUAUUCGCUCAUCUCAGCCAUUUCAACGUUUUUUUGUUUCAUCCGCCCGACGCGCAGCGUUUUCCUCGCCGCACUCAAAACCGUAGCAGAGACAAAGACUCGGGAGCGUUGUCGCGCGGGUUCAUUCGGUUUCCUCGUCCUCUCUUGACUCGGUGAAUUGCAUGUCCGUGGUUGGGUGAACCUGUAGUCCUGUCUUUUUUGGUCAAGUGGAAAAAAAAAUGAAUAAAAAAAAAUUUAAAAAAUAUAAUUCUCAAGUCUGCAUCCAUGGCAACUGCGGUCAAUAUUUUCAUCCCAUGUGUCACCGCCGCUCUCUCUCUCCACACCACACGUUCAUUCAAACUAACUUAAAAAAAAAGAUAAUAUGGAAAUUGAUGCAUUCAAAAUUAUAUGUACUUGUAUAAAUGGUGCAACAGUAAUAAAAUGUACGAAAUUGACUGAAACCACGGGAGUUUGUGCAAGUUUUUUUUGUCGUGUGCUUGAGACAAACAAGGGAAAUAUAAAUAUAGUUUUUACUGCCGCAGAAGGAGUUUGAGCUUCAGAUGAAGUGUCGUCUGAUUGAUCUAAACACAACAAUCAAGUUUCUGAUCCAGUUUAAAGUGAAUGGAAGGUCGAACAUUUUGUUUUAAUAGUCUGCAUUAGUGAGGUAUGGAAGAGUAUCAGGGCACAAGAACAAACAAUGAGGGGGAAGAUUUAGUUAUAUUUAUUCAACAUUUUGAAAUGUGGAGAUUAAAGUUGAAAUAGUCCUAAACGUCCGUGUUGUGGUUCCAGUUCAGCUGUCACACGUCCACGUUAGCUAACGUUAGCAAAGCUACGCUAACAGCGAGCCUCUCAAAAUUCACUAACGGUUGUUUGCAGGUGAACGUGGUCGUGUCAGGACGCACGUCGACGUUCAUGUUGCAAACACCCGUCGUCACCACAUCGUCUCUUCCAGAUUCAGCCUGUCAAUAAUAAUAUCGCAACUUUGCAACUUGGUUGUAGCUAGCGUUAGCUUAGCAAACUGGCUAACAAACAUCAACAUCCGGUUGUUUGGUGCUGAAAAGUGCUUCAGGGUCACAAUGUUCGACUUUGUUAUCGAAAUGCAAGAUAUAAAAAAUCUUGAUUAAGACUAACCCUUGAUUCGUCUCUUCCUGAAUCGCUCUCUCGGCUCCUUCCCCCUCUUCUCUCUCUGCUUUUGGUGCGACUGCUCUUUGAAGCCUGCGUGAGGAACCGGUUUCAAAGCGUCCGUGUCAUUUAGCUUCCUGACUGUGCUCAGGUUCUUCACCGGCCUCCAUCGCGCUCCGUCUUCAAAGCUCCCGUUGUUGUGGGGGAGGAUCAGAAACCCUGAGACAAAGAGAGGGAACGAGACGGAGGCGACGCUUUUGUGGGACGAUCAGUCAGAUCCUGCAUCCCGCGGAGAGGAGGGGGCCCCCGGGGGCCGAACGUGGGGAAUCCGCCCGGCGUCGGUUGCUCGGGCGACUGACGGCGACGAUCUGCACCAGGCGUCCGCGUGACGGCGAUCGGACGCGUUUCAGGUCGCAGGAGACGAGACUGUCACGCUGAGCUGGAGAUGUUUCAGCGCCGCUGACACGGAGGCCUCGGGUGAAUCACGGGUCCUGAAACGCAGAGCGUGAGAUGACGAAAUGUGAAGUGAAAUGAAGACGAGCCCUGGGGACGAACCGCCUCCGCUUCAUCGCAGUGAAGUUGGGGAAGAAAAUACAGUAUGUUGAGUUUAAGAGGAAUCAUCAGGUGUAUACAGGGCGUUGAAUGAACGGUGUUGAUCAGUAACUUGGCUAGUGGAUUUUUAAACUUUCCAGCCAAUCAGAUUUUCCACUAGCCAAAUUUUAGCCAAAAAUCAGUGCCACUGAAGAUAUUUCAGCACUUUUUUAGUUUUUUUCCGAACUAUCGUUAACUUUACUACUUAAUUCUUCGGCUCCUUUGUUUUGUUUCGUGUCGUUCCGUUCGUCUUCUUCGUUUCAGCGUAGCUCGCUCGCAAUCGAUACCACGCACGCUAUAGUCACGUAGCUAAACCACACUUCCCUUAUCUGAAUUUCCACACCAGGCUCAGCUAUUUAUUACUUCUCAUACAGGAUUGUAUGAGAAAUU
Scophthalmus maximus (turbot) is the source of this 2524-nucleotide long non-coding RNA. The record is from Ensembl. Lineage: Eukaryota; Metazoa; Chordata; Actinopteri; Pleuronectiformes; Scophthalmidae.